Molecule: small nuclear RNA, 103 nt
Organism: Myotis myotis
Lineage: Eukaryota; Metazoa; Chordata; Mammalia; Chiroptera; Vespertilionidae
Source: RefSeq, a predicted model, not a curated record
GUGCUUGCUUCGGCGCACAUACACUAAAAUUGGAAUAAUACAGAGAUUAGCAUGGUCCCUGUGCAAGGAUAACACGCAAAUUUGUGAAGCAUUCCAUGUUUUA